GACUCGUCACACUAUCAUUAACUGAAUCCAUAGGUUAAUGAGGCGAACCGGGGGAACUGAAACAUCUAAGUACCCCGAGGAAAAGAAAUCAACCGAGAUUCCCCCAGUAGCGGCGAGCGAACGGGGAGGAGCCCAGAGCCUGAAUCAGCAUGUGUGUUAGUGGAAGCGUCUGGAAAGGCGCGCGAUACAGGGUGACAGCCCCGUACACAAAAGCGCAUGUGCUGUGAGCUCGAUGAGUAGGGCGGGACACGUGGUAUCCUGUCUGAAUAUGGGGGGACCAUCCUCCAAGGCUAAAUACUCCUGACUGACCGAUAGUGAACCAGUACCGUGAGGGAAAGGCGAAAAGAACCCCGGCGAGGGGAGUGAAAAAGAACCUGAAACCGUGUACGUACAAGCAGUGGGAGCACCCUUUGGGGUGUGACUGCGUACCUUUUGUAUAAUGGGUCAGCGACUUAUAUUCUGUAGCAAGGUUAACCGAAUAGGGGAGCCGGAGGGAAACCGAGUCUUAACCGGGCGUUAAGUUGCAGGGUAUAGACCCGAAACCCGGUGAUCUAGCCAUGGGCAGGUUGAAGGUUGGGUAACACUAACUGGAGGACCGAACCGACUAAUGUUGAAAAAUUAGCGGAUGACCUGUGGCUGGGGGUGAAAGGCCAAUCAAACCGGGAGAUAGCUGGUUCUCCCCGAAAGCUAUUUAGGUAGCGCCUCGUGAAUUCAUCUCCGGGGGUAGAGCACUGUUUCGGCUAGGGGGCCAUCCCGGCUUACCAACCCGAUGCAAACUGCGAAUACCGGAGAAUGUUAUCACGGGAGACACACGGCGGGUGCUAACGUCCGUCGUGAAGAGGGAAACAACCCAGACCGCCAGCUAAGGUCCCAAAGUCAUGGUUAAGUGGGAAACGAUGUGGGAAGGCCCAGACAGCCAGGAUGUUGGCUUAGAAGCAGCCAUCAUUUAAAGAAAGCGUAAUAGCUCACUGGUCGAGUCGGCCUGCGCGGAAGAUGUAACGGGGCUAAACCAU
RNAcentral lists this ribosomal RNA (1013 nucleotides) under Salmonella enterica. Its description in RNAcentral is "partial 23S ribosomal RNA". It matches the Rfam family "Bacterial large subunit ribosomal RNA", at positions 137 to 1190 of the family's 2925-position model. Lineage: Bacteria; Pseudomonadati; Pseudomonadota; Gammaproteobacteria; Enterobacterales; Enterobacteriaceae. The record is from RNAcentral.